GUGCAGCCGCAGCCAGCCCCAGAGCCCGGGGCCACACGAGCAGCAAGCAGCAGCAGUGCCGAGGACGCCCUGCUGCCCUCCGGCAUCACUUGCACCCCUCCCUGCCCCUGAGCUCUGCCUCACACCCACCACCCCGGCUCCGCUCUCAGGGCAAACACUGAGGCUGAAGGUGAAACCAGCCCAGCCGUGCAGGCCCGCCGUAGCUUGACACCAAUGCCCUCCAGCACAGCCUGGGAACAGACUAACCCCAGCAGAGAACACAGCGGCUUGAUGCAGGGAUGGCUCACGCUGCAGCCAGCUGGAAGCAGCCAGCAGCUUCAGCUCAACAUGAUCAACCCCCAUAAACACUUCAUUUUCCUUUUCCUUUCUAUUUUUCUUCCAGGCUACCGGUGGAGAGGUCUCAUGUGGCAGGCGGUAUCCAUGUGCAUCAUUCAGAGGCACCAAUCUCAUCAGGGCUCUCUUGACAACCUCUGUGCACUGGGGAGCACUUCUCAAGGUCUGAUGUGUGAAACCUCCUACAGCAGGACUGUGAGUCCAAAGACACAGUGUAACAUGCAGGGGUCUCCCAGAGAAUGUUGGCCCUGGAUUAUCUCAUUACAUAUUUCUUCAAAGGAAGAUGAGUUGCAGCUGGGAAGCUGUUCCACCCUGCCCACACAGCCUGCAGAACACCUGGAAAUAAUAUUACGUGACUGAUCAGUGCUUGUCCUAAUCAAAGCGUGAGUUUCCUUUGGAGUCAGCAGUGAGGAGCCAAGGCCCAGGAACAGGCUGUGAUGUAAGUGGAAGUUGUGCAUUGCACAGCAGACAAAACUUCUGCUUGCCACUCACUGCCCGCUAUCGAGGAAUCUCUGAGCACUGAAUAGAGGCAACCAAUUAAUUCUUCUUUAACUCCUCACUAUUAAUUCACUUACAGAUCAUGCCCCAGGGCAGCUCAGUACUGUUAUCAUCACUGUACUUUUAUCACCACUAACAGCUGAGGCACAGACCAGAGUAGUGAUUGACACCACACUUAUUAGGAAACAAGGGACGGAGCUGGGAAGACAACCCAAGACUCCCAGCUCUGGCAGAAUAUCAAGGUACAGAAACACCUGUAAUGUAUAACACCAUAACUUUUAGAGAGCUUCUUUUACGCUAAGACAAAACAAAGGGUUUGAUAAAAAGAAUUCUCCAUGAAUGCUGAAGCUUUGGUUUGUCUUUGCUACAAUAUCCUAUCCAAAACUCCUUUCAUUCUCUGUAAUAUCCUCCAAGCAGGUUUCCCAUCCUUACAUUGCCUUCCAUCUUUAUUCAUACCCUCUCAUCCUCAAUGAGUUAAAGAUCAGUCAUCCAGUGCUAGCCAGCACCCCAGACUCAAAGGAUUCACUGUUUCCUGGUGUCUCCCAGGCUGCUUGGACUGAAAGAGCCAAGGAUCUAAUUCAGAGGUAUCCACAGAAAAUAUUUUUGUCGCUAGCAUGUUCACAGACUUAUCAUCUGAACAAGAAAAUUAGGAGUCUCUGGAUGCAUUUGCAUCUGUUCACACAGGCAGGUCUGCGUGGAGAUGCUGAUCAAGCGCACAGACCUCUUAUGCUCUCAGCACAGCAAAAGCAAGGUGCCUUCUCUCCUCCCUCAAGGACCCUCAGUCUGGGUCAGGGAACUGGCCCAUGGAUGUUUAGUCUGGAACAGUCUGUGGAACACGAUUUGGUGGUGUUCCCGUGAUAUUUCACACAAUAAGCUUAGGGAGGACAAUGCAGUUGCUUUGUGAGACAUGGUGAUGCUGUGUCUUGUGACACAGCCUAUUAGCAGAUUGGCUAAUGCUGGGUGUGCAGCUGCUUUCUGUCACGGGAAAGACUGAAAGCAGCCAGAAUAUACCUGUGAAUCCUGCUUCUAAUUAUUUAGAGCAAAACACACUCUGCUCCCAGUUUUCCCUCAUCUGUGUACCUUGCACACACAUGAAAAAUAACAGCCAGUAUCCUGAAUAGAAUUUCCCCUUUAUGCCUUACUGAAACCCUGCUCAGUAAGCAGGAUUACAUUUGAAAUAGGCUAUAGUAGAGAUACAAGAAAAGACACAUUCUUUUAAUGAAGAUUCCCACAUUUCUUUUCAUGAAGAAACUUGCUAACCAGCCAAAUUAAUUUUUCUACUUCUGCUUAACCUCAGCUGCCUCUACAGCCCUAUUUAAAACAUUUUGCCUCUUUACAGGAUCUGUCUGGCAGCCCUCCAUCACUGCCUAAUUGUGCUGGGGUGGGAUGUGAAACAGCCUGAUGAGGGAACAUAACAUUUUUCCCUUGAUUUCACCAAAGCAAAGAUUUCCCCUUCUUGCUAAGGGUGGCUUGGUGCUAGCAAGAAUCUCAGCAGUGAGCUUCCUGUGAACUGAUGGGAACAGCCCUUCUCCUGGAGCAAGGAGACAAUAUCUGAGAGCUGUGGAUGGAAAAACGAGGUAGUCAGCUCAUAAAGAAAAUUAACCCAGUGGACAUGAUUUGCCUACAUUCUCCAAGCUGGAGUUCUUUUAUAAGGCUGGCUGCAGAAAGCUCUUAAGGAUAACAACUAAUCCCUGGAUAAGGGUCAAAGUUCUUGCUGGGCAUUAAAACUUGGUGAUGUGAUUAAAGAAAAAGUGAAAACUUGCUGUUCAGAGCAGAACCUCCAGUGAGGAAGCUGCAGGGUGCCAGCACUCUGGUCAGUUCUGAGUGAUCCCAGGACACUGGGGAUGAGGAGCUAAUGGGUUUAGCUCAUGGUACUGGGAUGUCUGGGGUGCCUGAAGGGGAUGUAAAGAUACUUUGGUGUGAAGCAGUGUAACAGCCCUCUGAAAUGGCCCCCAGAUAGGCAGAAGGUUAGUACCCUGGCACAGAGCAUCUGGAACUUCACCUCUUCACCACGUUUCUUGAAGGUCCCCUCUGGAAAAAAAAUACUUAGCAGUUGCUUUAGAUACUCCUGAUUGGAUGUCUGGGGUUUGUGUGUAUUUACAGCCCAAGAGGCAAAUAGAGCUCAAAUGACUUAAAACUAGGUGAGAAACUAAAAUAUCCACUGCAAGACAAGGAUGUAUUUACAACUCCCUUCCAGGUAUAGGAAAGGUCUGAGAUUGACAGCACCAGAAGAUGGGGAGUGGAUUAAAAAUAGGGUGGAACCUGGAUGUAAAGGGAUAUGGCAAGAGCCUGAAGAGCAGAGUUUGAAGCAUGCCUGAGGGGACUCACUGGCAGGAUUCAAAGCUAGGAAGGAAAGUCAUUGCUGCCAAACCACUUGCCCAGCUGAACCUCACAGCACUUUGAAAAUUAAUGUAAUCUAGGAAUGUUUGUCUUCUGAGCUUUUAAGCAUACUUGGGUCAUACUGGAUUUCAUAUCUCCAGGGGCAUGAAAGACCAACGUUUUUUUUGUUUUGCUAAAAGCAGUUACUUUUACACAUCACACUGGUCAUUUGCUAGCACAAGAUUCUCACCAUUGGUCAUCUUGGGCUCCAGCAGGUGCCUCUUCAUCUUCAUAGUCAAUAGCCACAGGAUCUCAUGACUCCCUUGUCUCGAGCAGGGCUCUCUGUGGCAGGGGGAGGCCAAGGGGCUGCCCAGGGAACGUGCAUCUGGUGCUGGCGAGGAUGGAAGUUUGGGACCUUCUGCAAACCCUCACUACCAGGACUCGCUGACUCCCACGGUUCCUUCAGCUGUACUAGGCAAUCCCUAUCUGAUGGUGAGGCAGAAACACAGCUCACCAGAUGACUGAGCAUAGCUACGUGCAGGACCGCACUGCAUCCACUCCGUGGACACCACCACCACUAUCCCAGCACUGGCAGCCACAGCACCCUCCUGACUCUGCAGGACCAAGGAGAAGGUUCUCCUAUGAACUCCCCCAGCUGGCACCUCCAGCAGAAGUGAUUGCAAAUUCCAGAGCAAACUGAGAAAUCCUCCAAAAGGAUUUAGAGAGAUUAGAAAUGAGCAGGAAACAAAAUGAGAUUUAACCUGGGAAAAGAUAAGCUAAUGUAUCUGGGGCAAAUCUGCUUUGCUGUGAGAGGGGACACCCUGGAAAGCAGAGCUGCCAGAAGUGGUUGAAAAAGAAAAACCAUAGAGAGAUGCAUCUAUAGAGAGACAUUAGGAGAUAUGUUCAGAGUCAGCUGCCUCUUCUAUGUUUUUGGAAUGAUUCACCUUUGAGCAUGUUCAGCAGUAGACAACUUUUAAGGGAAAAGGAGUAUUAUUUUUAUAUAUGAAAGGUGUUGGGAUACAAGAAAUAGAGACUAUAGAGACCAGAGCUUGGUGAGCUAACACUAUGGGAUUUAAAGAUCCAUUUUAUGUUACUGGCCAAGAAAUUACUCCAGAGGAAACGUAAUCAGACUCCAUAAUCAUAUGAGGGUCUACGUCAGAGAGAAAGGGAACACACCUACUGACACAUUUGCAAACUUAAGGGUGAAAUUAAGUCAGAAAAGAGAAGGUAAAGAUAACGAUAGAGUCCAGGCAGUGCAACAGGUUAGGCUGUUCAGGACAGCAGCACGUGAUUAACAAGACAAUCUAAACCCACAAGUAGUUCCUCUUGGGAUGUCUCUGAGUCUGUGACUGGUCCCAACAGUUCAGCAAGGGUGUGGAUCACAUUCAGUCCCACAAAGUGACUCACAAAAGUCACAGCCACUUGCACUGAACAUCCAGCCACCCAAGUGGGGUACUGGUGC
Molecule: long non-coding RNA, 4612 nt
Organism: Parus major (Great Tit)
Lineage: Eukaryota; Metazoa; Chordata; Aves; Passeriformes; Paridae
Exons: 3
Source: RefSeq, a predicted model, not a curated record